This 496-nucleotide ribosomal RNA is filed under the name uncultured bacterium. Its description in RNAcentral is "partial 16S ribosomal RNA". It matches the Rfam family "Bacterial small subunit ribosomal RNA", at positions 29 to 507 of the family's 1533-position model. The record is from RNAcentral.
AUGAACGCUGGCGGCGUGCCUAAUACAUGCAAGUCGAGCGAACAGACGAGGAGCUUGCUCCUCUGACGUUAGCGGCGGACGGGUGAGUAACACGUGGAUAACCUACAUAUAAGACUGGGAUAACUUCGGGAAACCGGAGCUAAUACCGGAUAAUAUAUUGAACCGCAUGGUUCAAUAGUGAAAGACGGUUUUGCUGUCACUUAUAGAUGGAUCCGCGCCGCAUUAGCUAGUUGGUAAGGUAACGGCUUACCAAGGCAACGAUGCGUAGCCGACCUGAGAGGGUGAUCGGCCACACUGGAACUGAGACACGGUCCAGACUCCUACGGGAGGCAGCAGUAGGGAAUCUUCCGCAAUGGGCGAAAGCCUGACGGAGCAACGCCGCGUGAGUGAUGAAGGUCUUCGGAUCGUAAAACUCUGUUAUUAGGGAAGAACAAAUGUGUAAGUAACUAUGCACGUCUUGACGGUACCUAAUCAGAAAGCCACGGCUAACUACGUG